UCUAAUACCGGAUAGGACCACGGGAUUCAUGUCCUGUGGUGGAAAGCUUUUGCGGUGUGGGAUGAGCCCGCGGCCUAUCAGCUUGUUGGUGGGGUAACGGCCUACCAAGGCGACGACGGGUAGCCGGCCUGAGAGGGUGUCCGGCCACACUGGGACUGAGAUACGGCCCAGACUCCUACGGGAGGCAGCAGUGGGGAAUAUUGCACAAUGGGCGCAAGCCUGAUGCAGCGACGCCGCGUGGGGGAUGACGGCCUUCGGGUUGUAAACCUCUUUCACCAUCGACGAAGGUUCGGGUUUUCUCGGAUUGACGGUAGGUGGAGAAGAAGCACCGGCCAACUACGUGCCAGCAGCCGCGGUAAUACGUAGGGUGCGAGCGUUGUCCGGAAUUACUGGGCGUAAAGAGCUCGUAGGUGGUUUGUCGCGUUGUUCGUGAAAUCUCACGGCUUAACUGUGAGCGUGCGGGCGAUACGGGCAGACUAGAGUACUGCAGGGGAGACUGGAAUUCCUGGUGUAGCGGUGGAAUGCGCAGAUAUCAGGAGGAACACCGGUGGCGAAGGCGGGUCUCUGGGCAGUAACUGACGCUGAGGAGCGAAAGCGUGGGGAGCGAACAGGAUUAGAUACCCUGGUAGUCCACGCCGUAAACGGUGGGUACUAGGUGUGGGUUUCCUUCCUUGGGAUCCGUGCCGUAGCUAACGCAUUAAGUACCCCGCCUGGGGAGUACGGCCGCAAGGCUAAAACUCAAAGGAAUUGACGGGGGCCCGCACAAGCGGCGGAGCAUGUGGAUUAAUUCGAUGCAACGCGAAGAACCUU
This 810-nucleotide ribosomal RNA is filed under the name Mycobacterium shottsii. RNAcentral's name for it is "bacterial SSU rRNA". It matches the Rfam family "Bacterial small subunit ribosomal RNA", at positions 162 to 972 of the family's 1533-position model. The record is from RNAcentral. Lineage: Bacteria; Bacillati; Actinomycetota; Actinomycetes; Mycobacteriales; Mycobacteriaceae. RNAcentral also lists the same sequence under 6 other names.